This 408-nucleotide ribosomal RNA is filed under the name uncultured bacterium. Its description in RNAcentral is "partial 16S ribosomal RNA". It matches the Rfam family "Bacterial small subunit ribosomal RNA", at positions 28 to 526 of the family's 1533-position model. The record is from RNAcentral.
GACGAACGCUGGCGGCGUGCUUAACACAUGCAAGUCGAACGAAGUGGCGAACGGGUGAGAAACGCGUAAUCAACCCGCCCUUCAGAGGGGGACAACAGUUGGAAACGACUGCUAAUACCGCAUACUGAAGGAGGGGAUUGCGUCUGAUUAGUUAGUUGGAGGGGUAACGGCCCACCUAGGCGAGGAUCAGUAGCCGGUCUGAGAGGAUGAACGGCCACAUUGGGACUGAGACACGGCCCAGACUCCUACGGGAGGCAGCAGUGGGGAUUCUUCCGCAAUGGACGAAAGUCUGACGGAGCAACGCCGCGUGAGUGAUGACGGCCUUCGGGUUGUAAAGCUCUGUUAAUCGGUACGCGGUACCGGAAUAGAAAGCCACGGCUAACUACGUGCCAGCAACCGCGGUAAUAC